Molecule: long non-coding RNA, 1450 nt
Organism: Oxyura jamaicensis (ruddy duck)
Lineage: Eukaryota; Metazoa; Chordata; Aves; Anseriformes; Anatidae
Exons: 2
Source: RefSeq, a predicted model, not a curated record
UUCUCAGCUCCCCUUUUGUUUCUCUGCCUGCCGCCUUGCCCCAGCCAUCUCCUUUUGCUUUCAGGCAAACCCACCGCAGCCUGGAGCCCAGAGCAGAGCAAAGACAAGAGCCAAACUCACUGGCUUUACACCUGCUUGCCAUGCUGGGUCUGAACCGAAGUGCUGUAAGACAAACCAUACUCGCUCUGUGCUGCUCAGUACCAGGAAAACCCCCGCAGAUGUCUUCAGCCAUUUAAAGGCUGCUUUGUGCUUAGAGAAAUCUGGCCUUUAGAAUAUGAACAUUUUGUUUUGUUUUCGUUUCUUUUCUAUAAAUGAUGGCUUCUUGCUGAGAAAAUUUGAUUGAUUGAGGCAACCUAAAAAAAUCCCACGCAACUCAGUUGCCCAGUCACACACUGGUUGUCAAAGAGCGAUGAAUCAGAGAGGACAGUUCAUGAGCUGAACGCUUCACUGCGCCCUUCAGCAACUUCGUUAAAACAAUCCGGUUUGGUUUACAGAAUGAUACAUAAAGAGCAGCACCAUAUAUAUCAAAUACUGCCUACAAACGAACACAGCUGAAACUAGGCUGCUUCAACUGGGCUUCACUUGAAUUGAAGCCCCAGCAUGCAACACCGAGGCCAAAGAGAAAAGAAAAAGGCACAAAAUGAAACAAAUGAAGCAACGCAGCUCGGAUCACACCAGCCCAGUCCUGCCCUAGGUAAAUACACAACUGCAGCUCACCUCAUCUACAGGGCUAAACGCUAAUUCACGCAGCUACAUAUGGGAGAGGCAUGCUUUUUUGCACAGACUCAGCCUUCACAAUGGACACAAUUUGUUCACAAAUAGGACCUCCAGUUGCUCAAUUUAAGAUUCCAUAUGCUGUUCCUGCUGAUAAUGAGAUUUUAAAGAUUAUGAGAUAAACUAACUUGUCGUUCUGAUUCAAAAAGCAAGGAAAUAAGACCGAGUGCUAUAAAAUCAUCUGGCUUGUCCUGUGCCAGGACGCUGUUUAGGUUACAUGAAUACCUGGCACUGCCUGCGCGGUCCCGUGCCUAUGGACACCACCACGUACGGCUCUCACGCACACGUGAGGGGCAGGCUCGUCCUCGGAACAAGAGGAUAGGAACAUGCGAGACACCCAACAACUGCUCUCGUUGUGAACAAAGGGAGGAAGCGUUCCAGUACUCAAUAGCACGUUGUUUUUAUUUCCUCAGCCAUUUAAAUGGAACUGCUUUUCAUUUAUUCCUGAAGUGUGUUUGUGUCUGCAUUAGAUGGUGUUGUUAAGCUGUCUGGAUGCGCCAUCAUGACAAGCGUGAGUCUCUCCAGUCCCGUAACGAGCUCACAGCUGCCAGGGAAGCGCAGCACAGGCAGGACUUGGGAAAAUGGGAAAAUCUCGCCAGUGGCAAUUUAAGACUUGGGGAUGAGGGAGGUUUAAUGAUGGAAAAGGAUGAAACUGACAUAACUGAGAGCUGGAGAA